GGUUAGUGCAAAGGCAUAAGCUAGCUUGACUGCGAGAGUGACGGCUCGAGCAGGUACGAAAGUAGGUCUUAGUGAUCCGGUGGUUCUGAAUGGAAGGGCCAUCGCUCAACGGAUAAAAGGUACUCCGGGGAUAACAGGCUGAUACCGCCCAAGAGUUCAUAUCGACGGCGGUGUUUGGCACCUCGAUGUCGGCUCAUCACAUCCUGGGGCUGAAGUAGGUCCCAAGGGUAUGGCUGUUCGCCAUUUAAAGUGGUACGCGAGCUGGGUUUAGAACGUCGUGAGACAGUUCGGUCCCUAUCUGCCGUGGGCGUUGGAAGAUUGAGAGGGGCUGCUCCUAGUACGAGAGGACCGGAGUGGACGCAUCACUGGUGUUCGGGUUGUCAUGCCAAUGGCAUUGCCCGGUAGCUAAAUGCGGAAAAGAUAAGCGCUGAAAGCAUCUAAGCGCGAAACUUGCCUCGAGAUGAGUCUUCCCUGGGGCUUUAAGCCCCCUGAAGGAACGUUAAAGACUAUGACGUUGAUAGGCUGGGUGUGUAAGUGCAGCGAUGCAUUGAGCUAACCAGUACUAAUGAUCCGUGAGGCUUAACCUUACAACACCGAAGGUGUUU
RNAcentral lists this ribosomal RNA (605 nucleotides) under Yersinia ruckeri. RNAcentral's name for it is "bacterial LSU rRNA". It matches the Rfam family "Bacterial large subunit ribosomal RNA", at positions 2344 to 2925 of the family's 2925-position model. Lineage: Bacteria; Pseudomonadati; Pseudomonadota; Gammaproteobacteria; Enterobacterales; Yersiniaceae. The record is from RNAcentral.